This is a long non-coding RNA of Heterocephalus glaber (naked mole-rat), 4260 nucleotides long. Lineage: Eukaryota; Metazoa; Chordata; Mammalia; Rodentia; Bathyergidae. The record is from Ensembl.
ACUUCCAAUCCCCAUGCACCAGCAUUUCCCUGCAGCAGCCUCAUUAAGGGCUGGUUUCAAAGCUCCUUCACAGGAGAGGAUAAUGAUGCCAAGGAAGAGCAGAUUUCUUGGGGGAAAGGGCAGGAGAGCGCUGUGAGCCUAAUGUGGAAACAGGCUCCCACUCCUGUCUCCACCACAAGAAGGCCAGAGAAGAGAACUGGGUCCGGGAAAGAGGGUCAUGGCUCUUCUUCUCUGUCCCAGCUGGCGCUCAGGGUGAGACAAGGAAGUUGAUGCUGACUGUCCAUCCUUGGAAGUGUGUCCAGAACCAUGGGAGCCAUAUGGCCACCAGCUGGAGAAUAAAGCCAACGUGGGAGAUGAUGGAGCUGAUGAAAAUACCCAGGACUAGAACAAAGCUGAAAGUACCAUGCCCAGACAUCACUGGAAGACACACAGGUCUUUAUUGGCCUGAGUGAGGCAAGGUUCCAGUUGUUUGUAUCCCAAAGCCUUCGAACUCAUAGCCAAGUGUGCCCUGGAGUUUACUCACUUCGCUCAUGAAACAUUAUGUUAGACACUGAGUUCCAGUACACAAGCUUGUCCAAUUUCUCAGUUCUAGGAAGCAGGCUUAUCUGAUCUCCCAGUUCAGGGCAGAUUAGAACUAGCAAGUGAGAGGUAGAUGAAGUGAGGGCAGCUGGUCAGAGAGGGAAGAGACACAGGUGGAAACCAGCACACAAGAUGUGGCACUGGAGGGCCAUCGAGUGUCCAGACAAACAGGUGCUCCCCUUCUGCCGCCCCAGUGUGUGCUGGAUACAGGCCAGUGACUGAGCCAUCACGACGGCCACGUGUCGUCAAAGGAAGUUUGCUUUCUUUCUGUUUUAGGAGGGGGAUGAGGCUGAAAAAUGUUUAAUAACACUACUUUGUAAACAAGGAAAAGGUUAAAUGAUUAAAAGGGUACACUUAUCUGAAAAGUCACACAGAGAACAAACUCACUAAACUCAACGAAUGAGUAUAAUAUACCCACAGAGAUGCAUGCAAAUAGAACCUCUAGAAAGUCAUCCAGAGAAAAGGAGGGAAAGAGCAGCAGGCAGUAGUCUGCUUGCUACGGAGAGCACUUCAUUUCAGGGUCCGCACGAGAAGCCCUGGAGAAGCCAAGCUGGCGACUGAGUACAAGGCUUUGCUCUUCUGCCAGUGGCUUGAAUAGACUCUGGUGGCUCAGAGAGCUGCCUAAGCUAUUCUCUCAGAAGCCCACUAGUGGGAAACAAAUAAGCUGCUUGACUUUUCUUGGUAGGAGGGGGUUGAACACUCCUAAUUCAAUGUAAAUAAUUCUCAAAGCCAAGCACUUGCAGCAAAAAUGACUGGAAUGGUCACAGACACUAAAACUGUGCCGUGCAAAACAGGUCCUGGGUCUCUGUGUGCACAAACACAGAGCCCAGCAGCUGAUGUAGUUACUCCGGGAGAAGCCACUCCAACCCAGUCAUUCCCAGCUACAUGCCGGGUGCCAGGGAGCUGCUACACUCCACUGGCACCAGAGUCUAAAGUUUGGGGUGGCUUGUUUACCAAGGAUGUGGGCAUGAAGGAUGCAGUGCUGAGGUGUGAGACGAACAUGGGGGUUCUCUGCAAUCCUCCAGUCACCUUUCAAUCUUGCAGAGCCUACACCCAACAGAGCACUGCUCUGCUUUAACACAGAAACUUACAAAUAUGCAAAUCAAGGUAAAUAAAAAGGAAAAAUUGGGUACCUUUUCUGAUUACUCACCCAUUUGUGUGUGUGUUACACACAAUUUUUAAAUGAACAGUAGGUGAUGUAUGAACCUCAGUGUUAUUUAAGGAAAACCCAUAAACAAUUAAAUAAAUUUACCAAGAAUGAAACGUAAGACUUUAGAUUAGUGGUUUCGAGUGGUCUUUUUUUACUUCAUGCAAGAAUAUUACCACCUACACUGAGACUGUGCUACUAGUAAAUUAUGAUUAUUAUCAUCAACCCAUUAUUAGUCAACAAUUUGCUGGCAUGGUCCUAAAUAAUCUACAUUCAUUAUCUUAUUUUAUUAUCAUAAUAGCAUGAGUCUAAGUAUUAAACCAGUUUUACUGAUGGAGAAAAUGAGGCCUAGAGCUGUGAUUUGCUGGGGGAGCCAGAACAAGGAAAAGCUUGGGGUCCCAGAAAACACAGAUUCAUCCCAGAGGCAAAGGCUUAAUCACACCAGAGUUACAACAAUAGAUUCAUCUGCUGAUGGACAUACUGGAUGUGCUACUUCUAAAGUUGAGCAAUCGUGAAUUGUGCUGCUAUAAACGACAAAUCGGGGAGAGAGAGAGAUGGAGAAGUCAGGCAUGGCGGGGGUCUUUGGACCUUGGCCUCCAGGCAGACUGCUCAGAGAAGGGAAGAGGACAGACUACAAGGCAGAGCCUCUGAGCAGACGCAAGAAAGGCCCUGGGAGACUGGAGCCAUGCCUAACACCAGCCCCUGCCCACAUUCCCCGUCGGAUGGGGCUUGUGCUGGGGUCUGCCUGGAUCGCCUGCUCAUCCACGAGGCAGGGAAGAAGCAGCACGCGGCUCCUCUCCCACUCAGGACGUGGGCUGUACACUGCACUUCUUUGGGCUUCAGCUUCUGCAUCGGUAAAGCACACCGAGGGACAUUCAUACUUCACCAGAUUCUUGAGUGAUUUAAAUAACCCCCUACAAACAAGCGCUUAGAACAGAGCCUGCAAAUACCAAACCCUCACUAUUUAUCUGUUGUUUUCACCAUUUAAUAAACUAAUCCCCGACAUAGGUACAGUGGUUAGAAUCGUGUCACAGAGGAGAAAACUGAUUUGAGAGACAAUAAUGGUUUACCUAAUGGCGUCCAGAAUGCAAGUGCCUGGGAUUCCUGAACUGACUGUCCAACUCGAGGGCUAUUAUUACCUCUUUGUUUUUAGAUAAGAAGGCAAUGGUGUGUGUCUUGACAUUCUGUAGAGUAAUUCUACAGUUUACCUAAAAGAAUAAGGAAGAAAUGUUUGUUUAAAAAAAUAGAAAAAUAAUGGGUGAUAAGUCAUACAUGAUUGCAUCAAAAAGGUAAACAUUUCUAUGUGAAAAUAGAAGAUAAUUAGGGUGAAGGCAGUGUUCUUUAUCUUGAUUGUGGGGUUACACAACUAUAAUUGUAGCCAAAAUUUUUUAAAAUUUACAUUUAAAAGGGGAGAAUUUUGUGUGUGAAAAUUAUACCACCAUAAAAACUUGAGAAAAAGGUAAUUAUAAUUUAAAAAGGAAGAAAUCAACUAGGCAGAAAUGUUGCCUAUAACAUAUUUGCUAGAGCACCAACCAAAGCCAAACAAUCAUAACCUAUGGCCCAGCAGUUCUAGCCCUGAGUAUACACCCAGAAAGGAGCACAUAUCUGCCAGGUGAAAUGUAAAGAGAUGUUCCUAGUUGCUUUAUCUGUAAUAGCUCCAGAUUACAAACAACCCAAAUUUCCAUCAACAAUAGAAUGGUUAAGAAAUCGUGGUAUUCAGACAAUAGAAAACUACAGAGAAAUGAAAAAGAAUGAACUCAAUAUAUAACAUAGACGAAUUUUCCAAACCUAAUGUUUCAUUUCAGAAGCUUAACCCAACCAAACACACACAGGAUGGCUCCAUGUGUAAGAAGUCUGGAACACGCUAAGCUGGUCCACAAUGACAGAAAAGUCAUGACUUGGCAGUGGCCACUGCUAACUGGCAGGGGACAUGGGAAGCCUUAGGGUGCUGGGACUGUCCUAUAUCUCCACCUGGGAGUUAGUUAUAUGGGUGUGUACAUAUGUAAAUAUUGGUUGAGCUAUGUAUUUAAGAACAUUCACUUUUCUCUAUGUUAAGUUACACAUAAAAAAGACCUAAUCUGAAUUUUUUAAAAUGGGCAAAGGACUUGAGAUCAGGAAAGAAGCAAUCUUAACUGACUUAACUAUUAUGGACACAUAGUUACACAUGCCAAAUCACUAAUCACACAAAUGCAAAUGAAAAGUUUUUCUGAAAUUAUAAUGCCUCUAUUUGAGGGACAUGAAGUUAUGCGCAAGGCCCUGAGAUGAAGAUUUUUGAGGCAAGUGAUUCUCAAGGAACUUCUGAAACAAGAACCCAGAAAGCAGAAAAGGAAGAGGAAGAAGAUGCCAAGAAAGGGCACAGUUUCAGGAGAUCUUGCCUGCUCAGCACUGUCCCGUGGGAACUGUGAGAUGCAUUGACUCCACAUACAGUGGACUCUCGAGUUAGACUGGACUAACAUAUGAACGACUUGGGUUAUGACCGGAAUUUUAGUUUUAACUUAUAACCAAAGUCUUGAGUUACCAUCCAAAUGCCUGCC